RNAcentral lists this ribosomal RNA (305 nucleotides) under uncultured bacterium. RNAcentral's name for it is "partial 16S ribosomal RNA". It matches the Rfam family "Bacterial small subunit ribosomal RNA", at positions 508 to 808 of the family's 1533-position model. The record is from RNAcentral.
ACAGCAGCCGCCGCGGUAAUACGUAGGUCCCGAGCGUUGUCCGGAUUUAUUGGGCGUAAAGCGAGCGCAGGCGGUUAGAUAAGUCUGAAGUUAAAGGCUGUGGCUUAACCAUAGUACGCUUUGGAAACUGUUUAACUUGAGUGCAAGAGGGGAGAGUGGAAUUCCAUGUGUAGCGGUGAAAUGCGUAGAUAUAUGGAGGAACACCGGUGGCGAAAGCGGCUCUCUGGCUUGUAACUGACGCUGAGGCUCGAAAGCGUGGGGCGCAAACAGGAUUAGAUACCCCGGUAGUCCCUGUCUCUUAUACA